UUUUGGUAAUAAAUUGAUUAACAAACGAAAAACAUUCGAAAUAUAUUUCAAUCCUAUAUAUCACGCAGAUUUCUCCAAAAUUUAAACUAGAUUUUGGCAACUAUUUAAAACAAAAAAUGUUUGACAAACUAAAAUACAAUUGCAAUCCCUUAAAAUGAGCAAAACGCACCUAAAUACAUUUUUUACAAUUCACUAAAUCUUAUUUCUCCAAAAUUUGAACUAGAUUUCGGCAACUAUUUAAAACAAAAAUUUGUUUGACAAACUAAAAUACAAUUGCAAUCCCGUAAAAUAUUUAUUUAAAUUAGCGGUGUACUACAGGUUUUUUUACGGAACGGGUUUGGCAAGACGGGUUUGGAAGAACUUUACUUAAUAACAAUUGUAAACUAUAAAAUAAAAAU
RNAcentral lists this small RNA (398 nucleotides) under Arabidopsis thaliana (thale cress). RNAcentral's name for it is "ATSL026890". Lineage: Eukaryota; Viridiplantae; Streptophyta; Magnoliopsida; Brassicales; Brassicaceae. The record is from RNAcentral.